CUCACUUGCCAAACAGACUUGUUUAUUAGACGGUCUCACUUCGAUCCCCCCUUCUCUUUACGGUUAGGAGACCGAGUACAGUGCUCUAGACACAGUGAGGGCUCAAUAAACACCACGGAUUGAUUGAGGGAGUUUUAAAGGCAAGGAACAGGGAUUAAAGGGAUAUUCUUUUAGGAGCCUGGAGGAAAUUCACGCGGUUCUCGUUCUCUCCUGCCAGCCGUCCAUUUCGGAAGGAUUUUUCUCCCCAGAAUGGCCAGCCACUUCUCAAGCAUCGUUCUUGCCGUCCCCGCCACAUUUUGUAGGAGCAGGAAUUGGGCACUUGUUGAGCAAGUGAACGUUGGAUCCAGACAGUGAGAAUCCAGACUUUCCCUGGCCGUGCUCAUGGGUCACCCCAGUAUAUACCUUCUGCUCCUGACAGCCUGUCACCUGUGGAUACACUCCAUCUUUCUGCUUCCAGGGAGUUGAAACAAUGCCAUGGGCUGGAUAAGGUAAGUGUUGGGUUUUUCCAUGUUUGUUUUUGGCUCUUUGCUCAACUUUGUAACUUGAAAUAAAAGCUAAAUCCAUUAUCCUAAAAUCCCGUUCUAACAUGCGUAUGGAGAAGAGGAAUAACACCACAAUAGAAGACUAGCCCAAACAGUAAAUCAAGAGAAUUUAUCAUGAAUGCUUAUUUUCAAGUGGGUGCAGGCCACUCUAAUAAGCACUUGAGUGACUAAUUGAAAUUCUAUUCUAAAAUAGAAUUAGUAGACCCUAUCCCUGCUCUCAAGGAGCAUACAAUCUAAAUGGGGAGGC
This 789-nucleotide long non-coding RNA is filed under the name Ornithorhynchus anatinus (platypus). RNAcentral's name for it is "lncRNA (ENSOANG00000050240.1)". The record is from RNAcentral. Lineage: Eukaryota; Metazoa; Chordata; Mammalia; Monotremata; Ornithorhynchidae.